UGAUAUUGUUGUUGUUUUCGAUGUUGUGUUGGUUGAAGAAGAUGAAGUUGGGUAAUGGUGAUGAAGAGUGACAAAAAACUUUGAUUUGGUGUUGAUGAUGAAGAGGAAAAUUGUGUUAUUGUUUAUGUUAGUAUGGAUGAUGUUGUAGCUUCUAUGGUGUGGUUUUGGAAAAAAAAGUGAUGAUGAGGAGAUGAGUUAUUUAAGGUUGUUGUUAUUGUUGUGAUGAAAAUGAUAUUGGUUAGAGGUGUUGAUGAUGGAGGAGAUAGGCUGUGGUG
RNAcentral lists this long non-coding RNA (275 nucleotides) under Lathyrus oleraceus (garden pea). Its description in RNAcentral is "Pisum sativum (pea) long non-coding RNA (PSAT_LNC022574)". The record is from RNAcentral. Lineage: Eukaryota; Viridiplantae; Streptophyta; Magnoliopsida; Fabales; Fabaceae.